UGGGGAGCAGGCAGGCUGCCCCAGGGCUGGGGCCAGAGAGGAGGAUGCCACAGUCCCCCCAUUCUACCCCCCAGCAGCACACUCACCCAGCACUGUCACUGCACAUCUCUAGGGGCCAGGCCCCUUUCUGGUCCAGGAAGCCCCUUUGCCUCCCCUGUGGUGGGUGCGGGUGGGGCUGCCAUCCUGUGUGCGCCUCCACAGGCGGCGGCUGUGCAGCCACCUCGUCCUGCCUCGGGUGCCCGUCCCUUUUGUAGCCGGCAGCGGCCGGCGAGGGAGCACAGCGCGGCGUGGCAGGGCAGCAGCCUGCUGCCCAGGGCACGGGCAGGGACGCUCCGGGGGGGGGCAUGCGGGGGAGGCAGGCGGGGCUGGGGGAGAGACCCAACCCCAAACAUUGGUGAAGCCGGGCCCCAGGCCCUGAAUUUUCUGGAGCAUGGGCACCACGGGCCCAUAUAACUCACCGUCCAUGGGUUUAUUUGACCACCUCUGUGGUGGUUUCUUCUCAUUCACCAGACAUACUGUCAUGGGUCAACCAGAGAAAUCACAGGAUUUACCAGGACACUGCAACUAACAACUCCAAUACACACAGGUGUGUGUGCACCCCAAGCACAGUUGCUGAAAAUUUUCCCCUCAGCGGUACCUCUCGUUAAGGCACCCAGCCAUCCCCUCGCCCCCUCCAUUCCUUCUUUCCAGAAAACUACGAUGUAGAGGGCAGGAGGGUGGAUCGCAGAAUAGACACGUGCAACACAUCUCGAAGAACAACGUUACCAGAUUUGCCCGUUACUUUGGGGUCAUUGAGGCCUGAUAUGAAUGAUGCGUACUUGACAUGAAUACGUGCAUUGAAAGUUGGCAACUGAAGCAAGAACUUAAGGUCAAGGACUAUUAGAACUAUUUGGGCAAAAACAAUCUUAUGUUCCAAGAAAAAUACAGAAAAUCAUCAGAAAAGGAAACAACACCAGCUGGACUGAUAUAAAAUUGUAUAAGAAUUGGAGGAAAUGGCACAUUGGAUCAUGGCGGCCUGCCCAGGAUUGUGUCUUUGGAAUUGUGUGGGUAGAAGGACUAGUAAACAAAGGCAAAGAACGGAUGACGCAACGGAAUGCACUAUAAAUGGUUUCCUAUGAUUUUUACAAAUCAGAAUUGUUUAUUGAUCCAGAGCCCCAUGUGGAUAUAGAUGUGGUUUUUGCUGGCUCCCUGCAUCUUAUGAUCUUAUCCUGACGGAAGGAACCUCAACUGACCAUUGGGACCAUUCUGACCUUUGGACUCUGGCAUAGUAUGUUUGGGGUGUGAAUGUGGAGUGAGAAAGGUUUGUUUUGUAAUCAGUAAAGAGCAUUUAGAGUAUUAUAUACCAACACAGCAUCCGCUAUCUACUUGCUUCCCAUCCCGUAGGGAGACCUCUACUGCGGGUCUAACACAAGGUCGUCUGCCUAAGAAUGCUGGUCUUGGCUGCAGAAUGGGCGACUGUAUCCUAGAAAGCAGUGGCUCUGAAAAGGAUUUAGGGAUCACAGUUGACGGACAUCUGAACAUGAGCCCCCAGUGUGAUCCUGCGGUGAAAAGGGCUAAUGUGAUGUUUGGAUGUAUAAUCAGAGGAGUAAUAAGUAGGGCAAGAGUGAUUUUACUCCUGCGUACCACAUUGGUGAGACUGAUACGAUAAUACUGUGUACAGUUCUUGUAGUCACAUUUUACAAAUUAUGUUGAAACACUGGAGAGGGUACAGAGAGGAGCCACAAAAUGAUCACAGGGCUAGACAAAAUACCUCACAGCGAGGGACUUAGAGCUCAAUGUGUGCAGCUUCUCAAAAAGAAGAUUCAGAGGUGCGGUGAUUUGAUUUCAAUUUAAAUGCCUUUACGGGGAGAAAAUGCUGGGCCCUAGAGGGCUGUUUAAUGUAAUAGAGGAAGAGCCACUGCCAAGGACUGCAAAAUGAAGCAAAACAAAUUUGAAUUAGGAAUAAAUUCCCAAGUUUUAAAGGUGAGGGUGAUUAACCACUGGAACAAACUUGCGAGGGAAGUGGUGGAUCUCUGUCUCUUGAUGUCUUCAGAUCAAGGCUGGAUGCCUUUCUAGGUGUUCUUUAGGCAAACAUAAGUUAUUGGCAAAAAGAACAGGAGGACUUGUGGCACCUUAGAGACUAACAAAUUUAUUUGAGCAUAAGCUUUCGUGAGCUACACCUCACUUCAUCGGAUGAAUCCAUCAUGCAUCCAAUGAAGUGAGCUGUAGCUCACGAAAGCUUAUGCUCAAAUAAAUUUGUUCGUCUCUAAGGUGCCACAAGUCCUCCUGUUCUUUUUGCGGAUACAGACUAACACGGCUGCUACUCUGAAGUAAGUUAUUGGGUAGCUGGGUGAAAUGUAGUAGCCUGUGAUAUACAGGUGAUCAGAUUAGAUUAUCUCAUAUAUAGAUAGAUAACCCUAUGGAACUCAUUUCCACUAGAUAGCAUUGAGACUUGGACCUCAUGGAAUUUUGAAAAAGGGUCAGAUAGAAACAUAGAUAAUGAGAACCUCCAGAGUUACACUAGCUGAACUAAUAUUUAAUGUAUAUAUGAGGAAUCUGUUUCAGGGCACAAACCAACAACUGGUUGACAGGAUUAGGCAGAAACUUUUGCUAGGGACAGAUUUUGCCAUAAUUGUCCACUGCGGGGUUUCCUGCAUGAUCCAACCAAGCGUGUAGUGCUGGCCGCUGUCAGACACAGGACUAGCUGAACAAUUGGUCUGCUCUGAUGUGGCUAUUGGGACUGAACAACGUCAUGGCAGUUGAAGAAAGAAGAAAGAGUUGAUUUUGCAGACAGGUAAAAAGAGGGGCUCAGAUCCCAGACUCUUCCCAGUGAGAGGGAGUGAGCAGGCAGCUGAACAAAAACGGAUCCCCUUAAAAAUUCUUCAGGAACCAGGGAUUUACUCCCACAA
Chelonia mydas (Green sea turtle) is the source of this 2888-nucleotide long non-coding RNA. RefSeq lists it as uncharacterized. The transcript has 3 exons. The record is from RefSeq and is a predicted model, not a curated record. Lineage: Eukaryota; Metazoa; Chordata; Testudines; Cheloniidae.